CAGUCGCCGCGGGAAUACAGAGGGUGCGAGCGUUAAUCGGAUUUACUGGACGUAAAGCGUGUGUAGGUUGUUGUUCAAGUCAGUUGUGAAAUCCCUGGGCUCAACCUGGGAACUGCUUCUGAGACUGAACGACUAGAGUACGGUAGAGGGUGGUGGAAUUUCCGGUGUAGCGGUGAAAUGCGUAGAUAUCGGAAGGAACAUCAAUGGCGAAGGCAGCCACCUGGGCCUGUACUGACACUGAGACACGAAAGCGUGGGGAUCAAACAGGAUUAGAUACCCCCGUAGUCCCUGUCUCUUAUAC
This 301-nucleotide ribosomal RNA is filed under the name uncultured bacterium. RNAcentral's name for it is "partial 16S ribosomal RNA". It matches the Rfam family "Bacterial small subunit ribosomal RNA", at positions 509 to 807 of the family's 1533-position model. The record is from RNAcentral.